UUCCUGGCAGGUUAGUGGUUAGGCUACAGGGCUCUCACCGCUGCAGCCCAGGUUCGAGUCCUGCCCAGGGAA
This 72-nucleotide transfer RNA is filed under the name Pangasianodon hypophthalmus (striped catfish). It matches the Rfam family "tRNA". From Rfam's summary of the family: Transfer RNA (tRNA) molecules are approximately 80 nucleotides in length. Lineage: Eukaryota; Metazoa; Chordata; Actinopteri; Siluriformes; Pangasiidae. The record is from Rfam by way of RNAcentral.